Molecule: ribosomal RNA, 497 nt
Filed under: uncultured bacterium
Lineage: Bacteria
Description: partial 16S ribosomal RNA
Rfam family: Bacterial small subunit ribosomal RNA
Source: RNAcentral
GAUGAACGCUGGCGGCGUGCCUAAUACAUGCAAGUCGAGCGAACAGAUUAGCGGCUUUCUCCUCUGACGUUAGCGGCGGACGGGUGAGUCACCCUUGGAUAACCUACCUAUAAGCCUGGGAUAACUUCGGGAAACCGGAGCUAUUACCGGAUAAUAUCUUGAACCUCAUGUUUCAGUAGUGAACUACUUUUUUGCUGUCACUUAUAGAUGGAUCCGCGCCGCAUUAGCUAGUUGGUAAGGUAACGGCUUACCAAGGCAACGAUGCGUAGCCGACCUGAGAGGGGGAUGGGCCAAACUGGAACUGAGACCCGGCCCAGACUCCUAGGGGAGGAGCCGGGAGGGAAUCUCCGGCAAUGGGCGAAAGCUUGCCGGGCCAACGCCGCGGGGGUGAUGAAGAUCUUCGGAUCGUAAAACUCUGUUUUUAGGGAAGAACAAAUGUGUAAGUAACUAUGCCCGUAUUGACGGUACCUAAUCAGAAAGCCACGGCUAACUACGUG